GACGAACGCUGGCGGCGUGCCUAAUACAUGCAAGUAGAACGCUGAAGGAGGAGCUUGCUUCUCUGGAUGAGUUGCGAACGGGUGAGUAACGCGUGGGUAACCUGCCUGGUAGCGGGGGAUAACUAUUGGAAACGAUAGCUAAUACCGCAUAAGAGUAGAUGUUGCAUGACAUUUGCUUAAAAGGUGCAAUUGCAUCACUACCAGAUGGACCUGCGUUGUAUUAGCUAGUUGGUGGGGUAACGGCUUACCAAGGCGACGAUACAUAGCCGACCUGAGAGGGGGAUCGGCCACACUGGGACUGAGACACGGCCCUGACUCCUACGGGAGGCAGCAGUAGGGAAUCUUCGGCAAUGGACGGAAGUCUGACCGAGCAACGCCGCGUGAGUGAAGAAGGUUUUCGGAUCGUAAAGCUCUGUUGUAAGAGAAGAACGAGUGUGAGAGUGGAAAGUUCACACUGUGACGGUAUCUUACCAGAAAGGGACGGCUAACUACGUG
This 495-nucleotide ribosomal RNA is filed under the name uncultured bacterium. RNAcentral describes it as "partial 16S ribosomal RNA". It matches the Rfam family "Bacterial small subunit ribosomal RNA", at positions 28 to 507 of the family's 1533-position model. The record is from RNAcentral.